This is a non-coding RNA of Nothobranchius furzeri (turquoise killifish), 7569 nucleotides long. Lineage: Eukaryota; Metazoa; Chordata; Actinopteri; Cyprinodontiformes; Nothobranchiidae. The record is from RefSeq and is a predicted model, not a curated record.
CUUUCUCUUCUUCCUUUUGCUCUAUUUUUCUCCUUCCUCCUUUUUCUAUUUUUCCUCUUCUUCCUCUUGCUCUUCUUUAUUUUUCUUUUCCUAUUCUUUUUUGCUUUUCUUCCUCUUGCUCUGACUUUUCUUCUUCAGUGGAAAAAAGAAAAGAAAAACAUGUAAAUGAAUUUACAACUUUAUUGAAAAUAACCCAAACCAGUUGUGACGUCAAAUGCAUAAAAAUACUAAUUUACUAUCACAAACCCAAACAUCACGGUCUUCCUGCUCCACAGUGUUGGAAUUCUCAAACAACCGGCUUUGCGGGGUUUCCUUUGUUCUCAGGAGUUUGGCUCCAGAGACCAAAUACAAAGGUUUAAACCUGCGUCAGACUCGCUGCAGAGUUCAUUAAUAAGCAGUUUAGUCGAGGCUUUUGGCCAAGUUCCACUCAGCUGUGACAUCGGCGACUGAUCUGCUUUAAACAGGAAAACAGCUGAGAUUGUGUUCUUCAAACAUGAAGAAAAGCCUUCCCCUGUAGUUCCACAGGAAGUAUUAGACAACUCAAACAACAAGGACCUGUUCAGCACGUUGUGCACAAAGUGAACUAUAUGUGAACGUUGCUGCUUUUCUAAAUCUUGGUCAGCUCUAGGCUGCAGGAACACCGUGAGCUGAGGUGGGCUCAUGAAAAGUAUGCUCAGAGUUUUCCACGUCGUUUCUGCAGCUCGGUGCACCUGUUUGCUGCAUGAAAGGUGGAGUGAUUUGUGACUUCUAAAGGCCACAGAAUGGGACAAAUCCAGUCAGACUUUCAGUCCUGGGACGUGCAGCGUGUGGUGUGUUUUCAGUUCUGCUCCUCAUCAAUCUUCAGGAUAUUUUCUCAUACGGACCCCCUACAAGCAGCCUGCUCAUUAAGCCUAACCGUGUCUUUAAGUCAUGAAUAAAAGGUCUCCUAAAGGCAUUUUGAAAAGUAGAUUAGAGAGGUGAUUGCUUCAGGCUCAGGGUGUGAUGCACGUGAGAGGACAGGGAUUAUAAUUUACGGUCAUCUGAUCUAAAAAUAGCAGCAGUCCCUGCUCAUCUGCUGCCGAUUGCUGAAACAGAUUUAGAUUAGUUUGUUUUCCCCCAGGAAGUCAAAUUUGUGCGGACUGAUUAAAGAGGAUGUUGCCAUGGUAACAGCAUAAAAAAGCUUGAUUUAUAAAUGUCUGGCUUCAAGAUUAAAUAUAUCCGAGUAUUCUUUAAACAUGUCAUUACUAUCGCACAAGAAAGUAAUUAUGAAUCAAACUGAAAGUUAUUGAAUUAAGGAAAUAAAAAAUAUCCUAAUUAAGUCAUUUUUUGCACAAGCACACAUGUGCUUGUGCGUGUUGGCUGCACACCUUGGUGUGUGACAUAACUUGUUGUGUCACACUCUUCACAGAGCAAAGUUUAUGAACAUUUCUUAUCGGAUUCAGGUCAAACACCUGUUCUGACACUACGGCACUCCGUUGCACACACCCUAUCCGGCACUGCGGGGCUUCUAAGGUAAACCACACCUGCAGAGCUGCACACUCACCCUCCAUCCUUCUCUUCCUGCAGCAACAAGAAAAGAAUUGUGUCUCGGGGCUUAAACAGAAGCAGUAAGGCAGGAGAGCAUGCAUUCACUCAAAGAUUCGCCAAGGGGUAAAGGUCCAAACAACUGACGCACAAAGUCACCGCUCCUCUGUGUGGCAGGAUCCAGUGAAAAGAACGUUUAUAAUCUCAAAACAGUGAAAUAUUGUCUGGAGAAAAAAGAUCUGUUUAAGAAUGAUGUCAUCAAAGAUGGGGUGACUGACCUCAGCAACAGAAAAAAACCUGUCUGCAAACCAUCAGAGCAGGUCGGUGCACGGAAAACAACAAAGUCAUUUUUAAAGGCAACUCACUUUACGUAAGAGUUGUUUAAUAAUUACCGCUCUUCUAAUUCAAACUGAAUCUGUCUAUAAAAGCUAAAUAAGUCAAAGCUAAAUUAGCUUGUGUGAGGUUGUGUGUCGUCACGGUGAGAGCAGGAGGUUAGGACCCAGGAUGCAGAAUCCCCAGAACGACUCAAGGCAGGAGCGGUUUGAGAGAACACUUCCUUUAUUUUAAAGGCGGAUGCGCCAAAGUCCAGAGGCACCAAAACAAACCCGACUUAAUAUCAAACUCGCUGAUCGAACAAACAGAAGCUCACUCAUGAGCACGAACCAGGGUAACUAGAGGAGGACAGAACACGCUGAUGAUUACAAUGAACCAGCGACACUGAGAGACACAGACAGGGUUAUGAACACAGAGGGAAACAGGUGACAGGUGCGAGUAGUGAGAUCUGGAGGGAAGGCAGGUGCAUACAAUAACCUAAAUGGGGGAAAGAAACAAGCAGGAUGGCAGAUAAACCUUAACCUAUAAAACACAAAUACAACUAAACCUAAAGACUGAGGGCCAAAAAUAAACAACUAAUAACUAGAUGGAUGAGGAGGACUAAAAUAAGGUGGACUAGGAAUAGGGAGUGAUUAGGAGGACACCUGAGGGAAGUCUAGAGAGGGCUGGGGAUAAUAAUGGGACACAAGAGGAGAACCUGGAGCGAGAACAGGAGGAGGCUGGGGACAGACGGACACAGAACACGACAGUGUGUGUUAGUUACAGAACUGUGCCAGGCACCAUUUAGCAAGGUGUCACAUUUUCUCCCCACAAUCCACAGGUUUAGAGGUUGUGAGCAGCUCUAAGGAACACUGACUGCAAUAUCUGUUUCUCUAAUUUCCAGAAAGUAUUGUUCCACGCAAACGCAUAGAUGUAGAUUUUAUUUCUUUAAUCACAGCCAGUGUAACCCCUCAGCGUGUUCAUUUGUGAUAAAAAGCUAAUUUUCAAGUAUUCUUUUUCCUUAGUUGAAACUUUUGUUUCUGACUUUGUCAGUUCCGCGUUUUUUAACCUUCAGCAAGCGCCAGGAGAGCUGCUGCCAGGACCUUGACCGGGUAAAGUCUAACUCAGGGACUCCAAAAAGAUCGUAACGCUUAAAUGAAAGAAAACACCACUUUUUGACCAUUUUCAGCUAAUUUAAAAAUGUUUGACAAAGACACUUGGGCAUCCUUGUGUGUCCAAUGAAAAGUUGAACUGUUCCUGAAAGUUAGAAACUUUGCUCAUAAUCAAACUUUUGUUUAAAAAGAUGCAAAAGAAAAAAACCAGGCCAGGAGAUUCUGCUCAAACUGUUUCAAAGACAGAAAAUCCAUAACUUGUCCACGUGAGAAGGUUUAGUUGCAUAUUUUUGAUACUAAAUGUAUUCGAUUUAGUUUGUUUUGAAAAGAUCAGGUGGUUUUAAAGCUGGAAACACGCCAACAGGGUGUUAUAUGUUCAAACACAGUGAGGUCACAACUCUCCUUGAAACAGACUUAGAGGAUAAAUCAAAGAAAUCAGAAACUGCGGCUGAUCUGUCGUUAAGAUAAUAAAACCUGAACUUUGACCUUGAUGGUUAAUGAACAUCAGCUAGGUUAGUUGGUUGGUGGGUAGUUAGCAUCUUAAGCUCCAGUCGUGUAAAACACAAUGUGCCUAAAAGGGCAAAGACUGUGAGUUAAGAGUUUAAAACCAUAAAACAUCCCAUAGUUUCUCGCUGUACCAUGGUGCGGAGUUGUGUAACUCCUCAGCGGUGUUGCAGACUGUUUUCUUUCUCUCCACCUCCCACUGGGGUUGUGUCAGGCCAUCAGCAGCUGUUUAAACUCUAAAUCAGCAGGGAAACAGGGACAUGUAGCUAGUCCACACUCAACAACACUUCCUGGUAGAGGCUUUUCCAUAACCCAAUCAAAAACCUUGGGAAGGGGCCCAAAGUAAAUAAAUAAAUAAAGAAAUAAAAGUUUUUUUAUGGUAAAUCAUUUAAAUUAAAAUACAGAGUCGUCUCAACAUUGUAGCCUGGCAAGCCAUCCUGUAUAUGUAAAUCUAAAGUCUGGCCAAGACCCAUAGACAAAGUUCAGUGGUGGGGCAAAAGCUAUGGUUGUCUUUCAAACUGUCUCCGCUCGCAAUUGGACAGCUCUAGGACCAAUCAGAGCAAUGAACAAGAUGACGCAUUCAUCACUACAGAGAGCGGUCAACGGGGCGGUCUGCCAUCAAAGAAGAAGCAGAAGUAGAUAAAUCCUUACUUAGCUUAACUACCUCUAUCUGCAUCUCAGGGUUUUGUUCACGAGUGAGGGAAAGAUGGAGCGUGAGAUCGAUAGGCGGAUUGGCGCGGCGUCUGCAGUGAUGCAGGCGUUGUACCAGUCUGUCGUGGAGCAGAGAGAUCUGAGCCGGCAGGCGAAGCUCUCGAUUUACCGGUCGAUCCACGUUCCUACCCUCACCUGUGGUCACGAGCUUUGGGUAGUGACCGAAAGAGCGAGAUCACGGAUGCAAGCGGCCAAAAACAGUUUUCUCUGCAUCUGUGGAAAGAUUAGAAGACUGCUGUUCCUGGGUGCUCUCCACCCAUUUGCAAAUGCAUUAAGGCCUCCACUUGAAUGAAGUUUGUAGCGUUUGUCUAAAUAAAAAUUCUCUGAUAAAAGUUGUGAGCAGGCGUAUUAAUGCCAAAUGUACAAUAAAUGACCCUUCUGCAUUUUAAAAGUAAAAUGUUAGUCUGAACAAGCUCUGAGGUUUGUGAGUGUAAUUCAAGCCCGAAUGAGUGUCAUGUUGGCCGCUCAUAGUCUUCUUCAUCUGAUGUAAUCCUAAACACUCGCAGACGUGAUGUGCAUCACGCAGGAGAGGAAAACCUCUGCUGCACACACUCAUUCUCCCUUCAGCAACCACGCUAAACAGCGUGAGUUUAGCAUGAGUGUGUGCUCUUAAAAUAACCCAGACAGAACACGAGAGGUAAGGAGAGCACUGAGCGUACACCAGCUCAUAGUCUGGAAUAAUCUGGAUUAAGCCUGCUGCUGACUGUAGUCCGGUUCACUGCUGUGGGUUUAUGUUUAUUUGAGCUCUUGCUGGUUGAAUCGGAGUGAAUUAUAUUCUACGAACCAUUCCCUCUCAAACGUGUCGACGCCUGCCUGCUGUGACACCAGAGUGUUUCCAUUUGCAUCAUUUAUUAAUGGCUGUAACGGAGAAGGUGUGUAAACAGAUAAUGAUUCAGAGGAAUUUCCAGUUCAUCUUGUGAUGCAUGAUGUCAUUUUUUUCACAAUUUUCCCAUCUAGAGGUGAAUUUAUGAAAUAUUUUGUAAUAUUAUCUCACUUAGCUUGAUUUUAAGACGAAGCACAUCUUGUAGCUAUAAUUGUUUUUAUUUGUUUAUCAGGCACUUUUAUCCAAAGUUAAGUAUGAGUUACCUGAAGCCCAGUUCACACAGCAGGAUUAUGAUGCAGAUCUUAUCAGAUAAUCCUACCAUGUGUGGUGUGCUAUGAGUGCUCUGGUCUGCUGGGAAGUACGUCAGGACCGCUCCGAUCAUGAAUCCGGGCUUUCUGACAUGUUGAAUUGUCUUGGGCUGAUAUUCGGGGGACACAUUAAUGUGAUGCCUGUUGAAUGUGACACGGAGCCAAUCUGAAAUCAAGACAGAAGCGUGCUGCACACUCCCCCCAUCCACCAUGUUUGUUUACGCUGAAGUCUCAUUUUAUCUUGUAAGACUUCCCGUCUCAGUGGAGAAUGUCCACGAGCGAAAGCUUCUCUAGAGGGUAGUAUUUGCUGUGCUUCGCACCACACUCUGUCAGAUCAAACCUGGGAUAUCCGUGAUUUUUUUUAUCACCACGCAUGUGGUCCGUCGUUCUUUGAAAAUCUGCAGACUAUUUUAAAAUCCUGCUGUGUCAGCCAGGCUUGACGUGUUUUUGGUUAGCGAGAGGAUGCUGUCCUACCUGGAGAAAACAGGUAUGAUGCUAUGACUUUUUAAUAUUAUAGAAGUCUUGUUUUGUAAGGGCCUCCUCUGGGACAAGCCAUUAGCUAGCCUGUAUCGAUCGCUAUUUCUUCUAACUGAGGGUGUUCACAAUCAGUUUCUCUAGGUUACACUGUUCACAGUGAUUUUAGUUUUUCAUUGGACAUUUAGUUUUUGUUCAUUUAAUCGUUUUGUUUUCUUUCUUUCUUCUCAUGUUUUUGAGAUGGGGUCAGAGGUUCAAAUCCCAGGUGUGGUCUUUCUGUGCAGAGUGUGCAUGUUCUCACCAUGCAUGUGUGGGUCUCCUCCCAUAUACCAAAAACAUGAACGUUAGGUUAGCUUUUUACACAUUAUUUGGAAGGUAGUGUGAGGCUAAACGUGAAAAUAGUUCUCUACACCCAUUUCCUGCAUCAGCUUCUGACAGAAAAAAGACGGGGAAAUGCUCGGGUUGGAAAAGCCAGUCAGAUCUACGCCACACUGUAAAUUAGCAUUCAUGGACUCACCCAUCUUGGCCCCUGAUGGGUUGUUGGUUUAACGUCCAGAAGAGAGCAGAAAACACCUUGCUAGCAGAUGCUAAAUGUUAGCAAUAGCAACUCCACCACACAGCAGAAAUUCCUCCAAGCUUGUGUCAUUUGCAGAGCAAACCGAGUAGGUGGUAGGGUCAUGUUGUCUCCUGCUCACCUUUCAACUGGCUAUCUUUGACUUCCUUUUACUUUUCUGCAGAGAGCAUCUCAGAAGGCAAUCGUUUAUUCUAGAGACCACUUGAUUUUUAAUAUCUUUAUGCUUUAUUAUUUGUGGUCUUUACUGCUUUUUCGUUUCUACCUUUUUAUAUCAGUUCCUUUGUGCAUCUUGAGUCAUUUGACAAUUUUUUCAUGACGCUUUACCUUAUAUUGAAUUUAAAAUGAUUACAUGUCUAUUUUUCUUUGACAGAUUGUGAUGCAUUCUGAUAAAAAACAAAGAGCACUUGGCUGUCGUCCAUGGUUUUUUUGUUGACAGCAAAGAUUGGAGUGAACCUUUAAACAGGUUACAUAAGACAGAUGCUGCGUUGCUACUGUGAGCUCAAACGGACGCCCAAAGUCUAAAACUCGUCCUGACUCACAGAGACAGUAGAUCUUUAACUUCCCCAGUCGUGUGCGUGAUGAGGCCGUAGGAAGUUAAAGCUGUUCUGUAUUAACCCUCUAAGGCUGUGAGAGGAGAGCCCUGAUCUCUGGAUCCUUACCAAAUGGGACGAUGCUUGUGUUGAGUGAACGGCUCCUUACAAACAAAAGAGCCAAACAUCUCCUGCAUCGGAGGAGGCGAAAAGUCAGAAUAAGGAAAGGAGCAGAACAUAGAAGAAAAAUGGUCUUCCUAGGGCUCUACAACCCCCCAAGGCGCUUCACAACCAAAUCACUCAUUCACACGCUGGCGGGGAGUAGCUACGAUGCGGCCACAGUUGCCCUGGGGCGCACUGAUGGAGGCGAGAUUGCCGAACACAAGUGCCACCGGUCCCUCCGACCACCACCAGCAGGUAUGGUUAAGUGUCUUGCUCAAGGACACGACAGCAGCAUUCUCGGGCAGGAGCCAGGAUCAAACCCACAACCGUAUGAUUACUGGACAACCUGCUCAACCUCCUGAGCUACUGACGAUGUUUACAGUCACAAGCUUUCUUGCAUCUGCUGAGUAACUUUCACAUUCGGACUAAAAUCGCCAAGUUUCCCCGAGUGCUGAGAAUAUUUAGAACUAGAAACUUCCUGUGGAACAACUGCUAAUUUUUAAUGCUGCAGAAUGUAAUAUGUAAUUUAAUUAAAGCAAAUAAAGGCUCAACAUGC